UACGGAGGGGGCUAGCGUUGUUCGGAAUUACUGGGCGUAAAGCGCACGUAGGCGGACUUUUAAGUCAGGGGUGAAAUCCCGGGCUCAACCUCGGAACUGCCUUGAUACUGGAAGUCUUGAGUAUGGAAGAGGUAAGUGGAAUUGCGAGUGUAGAGGUGAAAUUCGUAGAUAUUCGCAGGAACACCAGUGGCGAAGGCGGCUUACUGGUCCAUUACUGGACGCUGAGGUGCGAAAGCGUGGGGAGCAAACAGGG
Molecule: ribosomal RNA, 253 nt
Filed under: uncultured bacterium
Lineage: Bacteria
Description: partial 16S ribosomal RNA
Rfam family: Bacterial small subunit ribosomal RNA
Source: RNAcentral